Toxorhynchites rutilus septentrionalis is the source of this 13895-nucleotide RNA transcript. It is a transcript of the gene named serine-rich adhesin for platelets, with no coding region annotated. The record is from RefSeq and is a predicted model, not a curated record. The transcript has 13 exons. Lineage: Eukaryota; Metazoa; Arthropoda; Insecta; Diptera; Culicidae.
GGCAGCCUAUACGGACCACAUCUUCUGUGUGAAUAUGGUUGGAGUAGAAGAAUUCGUACACAAAACGAGCUCGUAAUCGUUGGAUCGAAAUCGAGGCGAAUUAGGAGCGAGAAUCGUACGUUUGGAGCCAACUUCGACAGAAACAGAAACUUGGUACGCGAGUCGUUUGCGAGGAAAACCACAAAUCAGCAAAGCGUUCCUUCCAAGUGCGCGGUUUUAUCUUGCAGCGGCUGCAGCUUCAUUUUGCCGUAUUUUUUUCUUCGAGUUUCUGAUGGCCUCAGUAUAGUUUCGGUCGCUUUUUUUUUUCUUAUACGUGCGGUUCGACCGAAGAAAGCCCGAGAGACCAAUUGCAAGGCGAGGUGUAGUGUGUGUAUUUGUAUAUGUACUUUUUGCAAAAGGUGAAAGAUUAAAUGAAUUUGCAUCUUACGAAACUGGAGAACGGCCAGAGCGAAGAAGUUUGGUACAUCUGUUUAUUGGAAGAUUGUUCAACGAGAGACUUGAUCGUAUCUGACUAUGCAUUUCCGGCUGACCCCUGGAAGUUGUUCGACAAGGAAAAGUGUAAAGUUUGCAACAAUUGAAACGCAGCUUCCUGUAUCAAAGUGCAAAAAUUUGUCCGAGUCUUCUGUUACAUUGACGGAAAAGCGAAGAACAUCCAGCAACUGUAUAUCGUAGCAUAACUGUUUCUCGGUAUGCCCAGGAGCAUCGAUUUGGCUUCAACCUAAAAGUAGUGAACUGUUCAGUGCAAGUUCUGUUAGAAAAGUGCACGUGCUUUCCAGCCAUCCUCACGUAAAAAAAAGGUCACGUUUAACCACAAGAACGGUAGCGCAGCUCGCAUCUUGAUUCCGUGGACACGUUUAUUUUCUUCUUUGUUCAUAUAUUUGCGCUCUUUCAUUUAAUUCCUCCGACCAAUUUGACUUGCUGAGUUCCGGCGAACCUUGGUAGUGAAGUUGGCGAGCAAAGUUGGAAGAAAGCAGCUGAAAAUCGCACGAUGUGCAGCCGGUUGGAACGGCGCAUUCGAGGUUAACGAAACUCCAUGUGAAGAUUGCAGUCUGAUAGUUUAGUUUGUGUGGAACAAGCAGAAUAAAGAAUCUACUGGUCGCAAGAGAGCAUAUAUUUGCGGAUCUGAACAAAUCUAAAUAUAAAAGAAUUGAACGGAAAGGAAGUAAAAAAGGUGCAACGGUGCUAAUUACAAAGUUAAGUUUUUUUUUCUUCUCUCUGUUUGGUUUGUGAUGGUGAACUUGCCGGUUGUUUGGCGGUGAAGUUUCGGCUCUUCGGAGAUUGUUUUGUCUUGUCUUUGGUUGCAGAGCGUGGCAGAUUCGAUAACAGACUGAAAUCGAAACGCGAGAGACGGAAGCAUCAAUCAAACAAGAUCGAUGCACAUAACCGGAGAACGGUGCUCUCACCCAAUAAAAGAAUUCAAAAUAUAAAACUGCAAUCGAAGUUGAGUGACACUGGCCGUAUUGACAGACUGUUGUGUUAAAACGGAGCACACACACACACACACACGAAAACCCGGCAAACCAGUUCGAGACGACUCCAAACCAGACCCCAUUCCAUAAGGGUGUCAAUACCGGGCACCCAACAACAACACAACCAACUACGGCGGUGGACUUAUCUGGCAAACGACAGACGAAAUAAUGGAAGUGGCCGCAACAACAUCUUCAACUGGAUCAACCCCGGUAGCCAGGGCAUUACGCGGUCCAUUUCAAAGGGAGGUCCGCGAGUGGCAGCAUGUUGAUCCUAAUACGGGAGCGUUGCUGACGGGCCGGCUCGAAGCGGACCGCUGGGUCAACGGCCCUUUGAACACCUAUGGAAAGAUGGUCUCACACAACCUGUCCACCCCGGACGGCAGCACCCAGCACACACAGAAGAAACAGAUGGAAAUUCUGCAGGCACGAACCGUGUCUGGUUCACUUCAGGUGGUCCGCGCCCAAACCGUACAGACAACCUCGUCACGCUGGUCCUCCUCCACACUGCAUUCCGAGAUCUGCAACGGCAUUAGCACCAGCCACAGCAGCACCAGCGGUAGCAGCUAUAAUGGUCACAGCCAUUCGACAACCUCCAAUGCCACCAGCCACCAUGGGACAAGUUCAUUCGCCACUAAUGGAUUCUCGAGUCAUCACCUGCAGCAACAACAACAGCAACAGAUUCGCAGACCCCUCAUAAAUUCAAGUAGAUUAUUGGGUCCCCCACCAGCAACCAGCGGCAACAUCCUACACAGCAAUUCCCAUGGCAGUUCUCAACUGCUGAUCCCUCCGCCGCUGACCGGUGAGGAGUAUUUUGUCAACAGCGAUCAGGCGAUCAAGUCGUCGUCGUCAUCAACCGCAUCAUCGGCGCUGCUGAAUGGGCAUACCGCAGCUUUUGGCAGCGAACACUCCCGCGGUCUCCAAAGCGUGGGAUUGAUUCGCAAUGGCAGCAAUGGAGACGACAGCCGCAGCCGACACCGACAGCAUCUGGAUUGGUUUGACAAAUUCAAAGAUAUCAGCGUGAAGGAGGAACCAACCGACGCGGAUAGUUUUCUGAACCGUGGCAAGAGCAUCUCUAUCGAGGACCUAACCACCGAACGAGACGAGGCGAACUUUGAUGACGACGUCGAGCCCACGCAGUGGAAGCGAGUCAGCAAGAUCCGGCGAUCACUGCAGUUUCCAAGGAAAACGGCCCCGAAGGUUAGCACGCGACCGGCAGACUUACCGGAGAAUUCCGUCAGUGUGUCAAAAAUUCGACAGGAGCUGGAAAACGGACGACGGUUGAACACAGCCAUGCGGAAUAAUCACAUCGACUUCGUCGCGCUGGAUAAUAUUCUCAAGAGCGUAUCGGAUAGUUCCGUAUCGAAAACGGACACAUCUCGAACUCCAACAACGCCCAAAACGACCUCAACUUUUCUCACGGCGGAGUCACUCAAAGAAAUUCGUGGAAAACUAAGAAGACUGAGCAAUGAGUCGCUGUAUCGUGACGAUAUGAGUCCGGGUGCGGACCGCAAGGGAGAGGAUGACUCGGUUACAAUAACUGAGGUUGAAACCAGGCUGGGACAGUUACAAACUAGUAGUUCAUCCGAUUCUUACAAAAGCAAUAGCCUGGAAUCGAAUCGCCGGGGAUCCAUCGAUAGCAACACUGACGAGUGGCACUCGAGGAGAAAAUCGUAUGGUUUCGAAAAAAUGAAUCAACCAUCCGGCUUCAUGGCCAAAAUGGACUCGUCGACCGAUAGUGGAAUUGGUCGCUCAACUGAUUUGUGCUCGAGCUGGUCCAGCGGUGGAGCGGACAGCGUGGCCGCUACGAGAAGUACUAUCGUAACGUUGGGUGAACUUAAGGAGACGCCAACAAAUUCUGCAAUGGUGAUUAAAAUUACGAACGAAGGACAAGGAGACACCAAAUUGAGUCAGCGAGAGGAGGAAGCUAAGCGGCAUUCGAUAGCAGUGGAUGAAACAAGUUACGUUCGGGACAGCCUGAAGACGAUGUUCGAGAAGAAGACUUCGGUCAGUGUGAACGGGUUCAGCCAUACGUUCAUCGAUGAUUUGAAUAAAAACAAGAAAAAGGUCGAGUUUUGCAAAACGGAAGUUCACUUUACCGCCGAUUCGGGUCGCGUUAACAUUGUUGAAACCGAUGAGAAGCCACCUCCGACGAACAAUUUCCGAAGGCGUCGUCGGACUUCCAGUGGAGCGAUUGGAUCUUCGUUUCUUCAGGCGAUCAGCUCGGGUGUUCCUGUGACACACUUUGGCGAUUUGGAGAAGGAAGUGUUUGAGUCGGAUCUGAAGGAAAAUCCUGUAUAUACAGCUCCAUCGGUUGUGACAACCACAGUCGGUAGACCGGAACCUAGUCCACGCAAAACGAUUGCCGCCUCGGAUGAGAGUGACAGCCACUCGGCGGAUGAGAUAUCGCUCAGAGGGAUUUUGAAAAACAAACCGAUCAAACCGAAGCCGUACGUGUUGGGGGAGAAUAUGGAGAACAGGGAAAGUUUAUGGGGUGUCAAAUUGCGACCGGUGUCAACUGAACUGACUUACUGGAAUGGGCAGUCGGAUGAGAAGCCACAAACAGCAGAGGAUAUAGACACCGAGACGGCAUCCGGCGGAGCAUUCUCCACCAAAAUCAAACUGACCCAGACUGGCCCGAUGGCUUGGAAAUCCGAUGAAUCGUCAGAGUCCCAUACAAAAUCAACCACUAAGAUCCUCAUCGAUAUGACAAGUAACUGUGAUCCUUCCGCACAUGUUACCGCGGAACGUAACCCACUGAAAUCAACUUCGUUGAUCAUGCGCACAAUGCGUUCCGCCAAUCAAUUCGACGAAGCGAUGAAGAGUCUCGAGGCUGCCCGCAGAGAUUCAUUGGAUAGUGAUGCCGGCGAGGGAAGGCCUUCGGCCUUCCAGCUGAUCUCGAGCACCGUUGCUAAGUCGAGCUCUACCAGUAGCAUCUACAAGGAACCACCGCGAAUGAAGGUGGCGAAAUAUGCGGCCUCCCUCGAUGGAGAUAUUGACGACGACAAGCCUAGUUACCGCAUGCUUGGUGCUACGACCAGGCGGAGUUUCACAAACGAAUCACGGCUAUCUGACUUUGAAGCCUAUAUCAGCAAAAACAGCAUCCGCCGGUCCAGCGCAGAUGAGUUCUCGUCAGUUAGUAUGGUAUCGAGCGUGUCCGCCAAGCCGGUAGCGGCGCCCAGAAUGAAAAAGCUUGGAACCAGUGCACUGAGCCAUCAGUUAACCCAGCUGAAGAGGCUUUACGAUGCAGCCGAGCAGUAUGAUAGCGAUGACAGCGCCAAGGCUGACGAAGAGGUCAAGCUGUACUUGGGUAACUUGGCUAGCGGCAGCGAAGAGAGAGGAGGAGGUGGAAGCGAACUAUCCGGAAGUUGGAGUCGCAUCAAAGCGAAACGAAACGUUCAAAAGUAUAGGGAUCAGGAUGCGAAAAUCACUAUCAAUUCAACGUCCGAGUUUGAGAUCGUUAAGCCAAAACAUAACGGAUCUACCACUACCACGAUUAUCAACGAUGAGCAACAGAUGAGCAGCAAUUUAAUGUCCAUAGCUCUGAAAAGUCCAACGCCAAUCAAGAAACGACUUACGCCUAGUCCAGUAAAAGUAACACCGCCGCAUCCGAACGAAACACAGAAAAUGAAACAGCAGCAGUCGCAGCCACUGUCGCCAGUUUUCAAGCGACACAUUCCGACUGCUGUUAGCGAAACGAACGGCACAGCACGAAACGAAGAACGGGCAUCACUUCGGCUGUCGUCGGGUGCACGACAACUUCGCGAACAUGAACUGUCAUUCUUCGGUGUCACUCCGAACAAUCAGCGAGAACGAGCAACGAAUCCACCAUCGACAACUGCUUCGUCGAUCUCUGCCAAGUCCACCAUCACCACCACGAACCCUUCCUCCUUCAAGCGAUCCACCACACUAACGUCGUCCUUCAUCAAACGCAACUCGAUUAACAUGAAUCCUACAGCUACGACAACGACUUCCGGUAACGGUAAUGUGAACCAAGCCAAGCCGCAUGCGGCGACUUCGUGGCAGCUAACGAACGAUAAGCCAGACUUGCUUCGGCACAGCCAACGAGCAGAUAGUGCUGGGGUUCAGAAGACCACAAGCACCUCUUCAGCGUCCACAUCCACGCUGUCAACUAGCACUUCGACGAUGUCCUCCGUGGAGCCACACUACGAAAAUCUAGUCAAAUCGAUUAACGAACCACCGACCGUAUCUUAUGACCGUAGGCAUGAUCUAAAGCGGGACGAGCAAAUUCUGGAGGAGCUAACGCGCGCAGCUGAUGAGAUUUUGAAUGUUGUUAACAACAUGUCGAAUGCUGAAAGCACCGAAAGCAUCCUCAACGAAUUCCAAAACUCAAACAGUGGCUGCACCCUGGGGACGAUUCGGGAGUGUUCAACGACCAACAAAAUUAUGAAAUCACGAGGUGUCCAGGUUUCGAAGAAUUUGGAUGAUAGUCUAAAGCGACAUCAACGAUCUGCUAGGGUGUCCUCUGCAUCGUCCAACGAAAGCCUGUCGCGACCAUCGGCAGCUGCUGCUCAUGCCUCCGCCCGUUCUGUUCAGCCUACGGAAUCCCGCAACGGUAGUGCUCGACGCAAACUCACCAGUUCAUCGUCCGAAUCACGUCGCUUGAUUCGCAUGUGCAGCAAAGAGCGUCUCCAUCAAUCCAAUGCCAGUUCAUCGGAAGACCUGGCUACUAGUGCGGUUGUGGAGCCACCCCGUCGUCCACGUCGUACCAGACACCACGCGAGUGAGAAGGAAACGGAUCCACCCAAUCGAAAUGGUGGUAUAUCUAGAAGCACAGUGUCUAGCAGCCGUCGAGCCGAUGAACGAACGCUCUCGAGUCGAUCACACCGUAGCGAAAGAUCAUCAACGCGAACAAGCAAAGGCAACCCUAGCGGCACUAUCACCUCGUCGAGUGUCAUCCAAGCGUCGUCCCCAGAUCAGCCACAACAGCAGCAGCAGCACCAUCGUAUCCGCAGCAAGUCCGGCACUUCCGUCCUGACAACAACGUAUGUAUUACAAUCGUUUAUUGUACCACCGCCUCGCCAUCGCCGACGGCGCCAUCAAACCUCGAAAGCCAUUGUACGCCGGCAUUCCUCACGCUUACGAUCCUCCUCUGCCACUCGCGCUGCCACUGCCGAAGUAACCAAAACGCUUAAACGAGGACGCCAGCUAGAGUUGUGCAUUUGCUCCUAGCUAUGAAGUGCACACGCGCGUGGGCGGAUGCACUCCUCUUGUGGUUAUGGUGGAUUGUGGUAGCUCCUGUCCAAAAUAUAAACAUGAGUGGAUCGCCGAGAAAACAUCACCGGUGAGACACGCCCAAGAGUACGCCGCCGACAGGAGAGAGGGAGAUAGACCGGAGACGAUUCGGAUCUUCGCGGCGUCAUAUUACAAAAAAAAAAUCCGUGAUCAGUUGAUGUACUGUACGAUUAGAAAAGUUUACUUAUCCCCAAACACAAAUUAUUAUAUUAGGCCUCCAAACUAACACGGAUCUCGAAGAAAGCAUCUUUUCUAUGUAAUCUCGAAUGCAUGAAAGCGCUUGUAAAGUUGUCCAAAAUGCGAAUCUUAGCAAGUAAAUAAUAAUAUAUUAUGUGGUAGGAGAUAAUGAGCCCUACGAGAUGACUACGAGCCGUAUCGCCCUGCAGAACGCAAAACGCCAGCAUUCUUGAAUAGAAACUAUUUAUAUAGCAACAUUAAGCUUGUUCCUAUUAUGGUUUGAUUCUAAUCGCAUACAUUCUAAUAGAAAUUACUACUUAAUCGUAUUGAACCACGGCAGUGCCGGUCGGCCGAUAAGUGAACGCCCUCGAUUGCAUCUCCGGAAAUCGGCACGUUGCACAGUGGGCCAUUCUGUAAAAAAACGGUCAAAAAUCUUUUCUCGUCCUAUCUUACAUUUUAGAAGUUGGGUGUCUUCAAGAAAGUUUUUCCGAUUGUUGAUCCGGAUAGUUUGACAUUUUCAUUAAAACUCUUACUAAGUUACAACAAAAAUAAAAAAAAACUAACUUUUUAUAUAUACGAGGUAAUUGAGUUGUGUCUUCAGCAAAAUUGCAAAGCAUUCAAUUUCGUUAAACUCCGCUGAAGAUACAUAAUAUCUAUCAGUCCUUCAGUGAUAUAGAUGUUUUCCUGAGAAGAGUAUCCUAAAAUUAAUUGUUGAACUUACUUUACAUUCACUCAACAUGUUCCACAAACUUUCAGAUGACAAUAAAAAACUUUGCUGAAGACUAGUAGUUUUUAAUGACACAUCGAUGUACAGUGAUUACAAAUCAAAAAUAUGUCACUUUCACUUACCAUAUUAUUCAAAAACGUGCACGUCUGUGCAUCAAUACUGAACUUCAUUUGUAUCUUGUGGGUUUGGAGUAUACAGCACACCACUUUUCGAACUCGGGACAUUUCGGGAACAUCACUUUUCAUGCCAAUUAUUACAGCCCUGUUUACUCCAUAUUAUAACCUUUUUACUUCGUACUUCAUCCAAUGUUGAUGUUUAUUUACAAUAUAUUCAUUUACUAUUCGUUUUCUGUUCUUAGUUUGCUGUCAGAGUUGAAAUUUGAAGAUUCAGAACGAGUAUUUUACCGAUAUAUUAACAUAAAAUGCUGCCUCAAUAUUUGGGUAAACCAAUUGAAGGAGGAAGUGAUGUUCAUAGAUACAAUACUACAAUACUGGUCAAAUCCGGCCAGAAGUUCGUCGAACCAUCAUGAGCCUUCAGGAGAGGAAGGAAUCGCUUUUAGAGAUACUUUUACAAAUACACCUGUCCAUUCAUGGUGCUUGCGGUAACGAAAAGUGUACUCCACUUUCCGCAAGUACAAAUCGCUUGCCAUAUUGAGAAUUUCUUGGUGAACUUCGACAUCUUCUGUGUCCGAAGGAUCUCUGGAACAUCCAACUUCUCCUUGGCAGUCACAUACAGGUUUUCUUGAAUCUGGAUGAAGUCCCCCUUCACAUAAGAAGCGUAUCGGAAAGUAGUCUUGAACUUUGAAACAUCAAAAUAAAACUGCAACGUACAACAUUCAGAAAGUGUUUACAAAAGUGAAUUUUAUUAAAGAAUAUUAAGUUUACAUAGCAAUGGAAUGAAAAAAAUCAAGCUUUUUGUUGAUUUCUAAAAAAUAAUCGAACCAUAGAUUUAACUCCACUCAUCAAAUUCUGCACAGUAGUCUUUGUGCACUUUAUGGACGCCGCAGACCAAUUCUUCUUGACCUCGGACAUGUUUUUAGACACUGUAGCUUUCUUCUUGAAUCUGGCCUUGACAAUCGCCCAGUAACGUUCAAUCGGCCGCAACGGGGAAGGGUUUGGUGGGUUAGGUCUUUUUCGAUGAACAUAAUUUUGUUUUUCGAAAACAAUUGUGGAGUGGAUUUGGCAUAAUGUGUUGAUGCCAAAUCCAGAUAGAAUAGAGGAUGAACCUCGUGCUUUCUAUAAAGUGGAAGAAAUCUCUUCUUCAAGCAUUCUUCUACAUAAAUUUGAGCAUUUAUAGUCUCUUUUGUGAAAAAAGUUGACGAUCGCAUGCCACACGUGCAAAUGGCUUGCCAAACGAGCAAUUUUCAGCCGAAUUUUUCCAUCGCAAAAGAUGUGUCCGCAAAUGGUACACUUAUUCCAAUCGAUUUGGUAUAAAAUUGAGGUCCCGGCAGCUUUCUGGAAUCUUCUUUGACGUAUGUUUUGUCGUCCAUGAGAAUGCACUGGUUGGGAUUGUUCAAAAUACGCUCAUAUAGCUUUCGAACUCGUGUUUUAGCGUGAUCUUAACUCCGGUGUUUGUUUGGCCACAUUUUGCAUUUUAUAGGUCUUUAAACCAUGUCUCUGUUUAAUCCUCUGAAUCAUCCCAACACUGGUUUCGAACUUCUUGGCCAAAUCACGAAAAGAUGCAGACCUGUUCUUCUGCAUAUAAUUUACAUUUUUUCGGUUCAUUUCGGAAUUACUUGCUCCGGUUUUUCGUCCACUUCUUCUGAGAUCCUCGAAAGAACACUCAUUACCGAACUUUGCGACGAUUCGUUAGACACUUUCUGGACAAACUUUGAUUUUUUUUUUGCUAUUUUGUGGUAUGUAACACCCUUUUCGGUGCACCAAUUGUGCAGAAUUUUCUUUUUAGUUUCCAAAUCAAUCUGUGACAUUUGGAAAACAACUUUAUGACCGCGACUAAAUGACUUGUAUUUCGAUUUAUGACAUCGUGCUCUGCUCUGAUUACACGACAAAAAAAAGUUCAUCCGUUUGUGUGUAAUAACGUGUUAAAUGUUUGAUACUACUUUUCGAUACACUGCUUUUGUCUCGUCAUCCAUUACGCAGCAGUGUGGUUUCGUUAUCUUCUGGUCGUACAUCUACCAGGUACGGCUUUUUGUGACCGUAUUCUGUUUCUCGUCACGAUUUGAAGACUUUGGAAUCAUAAACGUGCGUAGUCCAACUCGAGUUUUCAUAUUCUGCAAGAAAGGCUUGCUCACACGCAACUUUUUAGCCACAUCUCUGAGAAACUGAGGCGUUCGGUUUUCGUUUAAACGCGUUUGUGAUCGUUCUCGUUGACCUGACAGUUAUUUUUUCCGGAUCUUAGCUUCCGAUCAACAGUCAAACUUUCUUCGAACCGUUUUAUGAUACCAGACACCGUGGAAAUUCUCAAUUCCCAACUUUUUUCCGAUGGCACGAUGCGACAGAUUCUUACUUUCGAAGUACUCGUGCAGAACUUUUCCGCGCACGCUCUGUUCUGUUCUUUCGAUCUUCUGAUUAGCAGCUCGCGAAAGCAAAAAUCAAAGAAAAUCAAAUUUAUUUCAUCAACUGCAGUGAAACUUUUGCAAAAUAUCUCAAAUUUGAACUCUAUUAGCAAACUAGAAACAGAAAUCGAAUAGUAAAUUAAUAUAUUGUAAAAAAAAUUAACAUUGGAAGAGGUAUGAAGUAAAAGGUAUGAAACCGAACCAAGAAACUUAAAUUUGGAGAUAUACGAGACGAGACGAGAAGACGAGCGCUCGUCUCGUUUGAUUUAAAACUUUUCUUGAUAAAUCGUGAACAAGCAUUGCCCCCAACAAAUCCAUAAUAACAAAACGUCUGAGUGAUGAAACCAUAUGCUGGUAGAAAAGAUAUAAUUGAAACCAAAAGAUAUAUGAAACUCAUUUCGUUUUGUUAUGAUUUUAGUAUUUCGACACUGAGAAAAGUGUCUGGAUUGAUCAAUUUUGAAAAUGUUUGUUAUUUUUAUCAAAAUAAAAACAUGUUUUCACAUCUGACACCACUGAUCAUACCGAGAAACAGUGACAGAAGUCUCUCCAGACUUCCAAAUAAAACAUUUCAAUAAAACUCGUGUACUGAAAUAGGAUAUUUUGCUCGUCCCGUCUGAACUGAAGCCGAGACGAGACGAGACAAAUUGCUUGUCUCGUUUUCUGAAAUAGGGCCCAUAAUAAUAUCAGAUGAACCGAACAUGAAAUCGCAUGGGUCUCGGCUUAACAGCAGCAAAUUCUUCGAACACAUCAAAGUCAACAGUGUUAGUAAAUUUAUUUUCAAUUGACAACAGAGCCAAUGGAUUAAGGCAUAUCGCAAAUUACUCUUAACUUAUUUCAACUGUGAUAAGCCUCUUUCACACGCAAACGCAAAUUGUUGGUAACUGCUUCAAACUCACUGUAAGAUUUGCAAGCGUUUCUUAGAAAUCCUAUCAUCUAUGAGAAGAAACUGCGGAAAACGAGUAAACAGAUUCAACAGUUCAGAAAAAUGUCCCUCACUAUAGAUUCUCAUCAAAAGCAUGUUGUUCUAAGUUCUAAGAGUGGUCUGUAAACUUUGUAUACGUUUUUUUUUUUCUUUUGCUCUCCCAACAGAACCCGAAUUCCUCCAUUUGAUCCAGAUAUGGUUGAAGUGUUGUCCCCAUCCCUUGUCACGGUUGAAGUGUUGUCCCCUGUCACGGUCGCCAUGAGACGAAUUAACUCAUGGCGACCGUGACAGGGGAUGAGGCGAAGGGGAACUGUUUUCAACUCCAUGAGAUAACACGAGUCAUCAUGAGAUGGUUCGCUAGGUUUACUUUGACACUUAAAAAGAACCGCCAUCAAUGGCUUUCGGAUUUUUGGAGAGAAUCGACGUACUCCUUUUGUGUUUAAAACCCGACUGUAUUCAACUUACGAAUCAGCCCUUUUAUAACUGUAUAAUUUGCUACCCCUGAAUGUUUUUCGUUUAUUUUUCGUCAGCGUAAACUGUUUUGGUUCACACCAAGCACCGAGCGGGGUGAGUUUAUUUAUUGUUGUUGAUUUCUUGAAGGUCGUAUACUGGGGAAAAUGAAAUGUUGGGACUGCUGACGCUUCACUAUUAGCAUGCAGUCCGGGUGUUAUAAUAUUUGUUAGUUUGGGGGUCGUCAGCGGAAUUUUCAUGAAAGUUAUUACACGGAAAUUCCACGGUAAUUACGUCAAAGAUGGAAGCGUUUGGUAUGCGGAAAAAGUGUUUGUAAUUAUUUGGGAUGUAGGUGAUAAUGGGGAAUUGAGCUUGGGAUCGGAAUGGUUUCAAUGAGGAACGGAAUUUAAGAUACAUACAUUUACAUUGUGAACUUCAUGACACUUCAUGAAAUCUGUAGCUUAACUCUUCAUUUAAUGAAUUUAAUGACGUUACUCAAAAUAAGCAACCCGUUCCCCAUCCAAAACGAAAGAAAAACCAAGGAAGAUUGCUUUACAUGAACAUUUCAAUCGUGAAAUUCCUCAUCUAAACAAUACUGUAAGGCCUAUAUAAAAUGAACAAAGAAGAAUCACCAACAGUUGAAGUUCAUUCUAAUUUUUAAAAGAUUUUUUUUCGGAACAAUCUAAUUAUCAUAGUCGUAUUGAUAUAAUGUAAUUUAGGUAGAACAAAAGCUAAAAAAAACUAUUUUUAAGAUACUCUAUUUAGAAAAACUGUUUCCAACAAACAAUCAUUAGCUGUUAUUAAACUAGUCAGUUGAAGAAUGGUCGAACAAUAGUGUUGAUUGCUUAAUAAGACGAUAUGCUGUACUAUAUGUUGUAUAAAAAAUGACCAGAUUGAAGCUUUUGUUCAACGAUUCAUAUUUAGCUGGAUAAUACGCCAGUGAAUGAUUUUAAGGUUGCUUUAUUUGUUCAACAACUCUUGAAAAAACUGACACGAACCGAUCAUUAGCUGUAAUAAAACUAACCAGUUCAAUGAUGGUCGAGCAUUGAGCAUUGGGUGCUCAAUAAGACAAUAUGCUGAAUUAUACGUUGUAUAAAAGCUUAUUUGGACCAAAUUGAAGUUUUUGUUCAACUAUCGAUGUUUACCUGGGUAAUCUGCCAGAGAAACGAUUUGAAAACGUUUAUUCAUCUGCAAAGCAACUUUUGUACAACACAUGACAGACUACCAAAGUGAGCGUUUGCUGCCAGUGUUUUUAAGCUCAUAUUCGAUUGCUUGGCAUUACAUUUUUAAGUGUUCUAACGGAGCAAAUGAUUUGAUGGAGGAUUAUCGAUGCUAAGGUCGUAGGUUUGAAUCAUGGUCAUUUUGUUUUUGUGUUUGUUCAAAAGUUCAUCUGAAACUGAAUAAGUUUCAUCUAGUAGAUGUAAUAGACUCUAACAAGCGUCUGCCGAGGUGCUAAAAAACUAAUUCUAUUUACAGAAAUUCGGUAGAAGAAAAUAACGCAGUCAGACAAAGUUCUUCUUCGAUAUCGCAGUCUAAGUAGAGCUAAUCAAAUCAGAAUAUGGUGGAAAAGACAUUUCCACCACACCUUGGAACGUUUUCAAAUUGACUUUAAACUGCAUUUAACGAACAGUAUUGGAUAUAGCGUAAUAAAUUCUCCUCAUUUGCUUGAACAAGGCUUGAAUAGAGAAUUUGAUGACAAUUAGUUCAGGCAUUUUUAAGCAUACAGCUGAAUAAAACCAUUAUAAAAACGUCACACUGAUGGGGAAUUGUUAGUGUAACCCAAAUCUCUCAAUCUUUGAAGAUCCAAUAGAUAGAUAUUAGGUAUAUUCAGAAAAGUUUGUAGUCAACCCAACUAUUUCGUAAGUAUAAAAAAAUUUUAAAAAAAUUUUUAUUAUGACUUAGUAAAAGUUUAAAUGAAAAUGUCAAAUUAUCCGGAUCAAUAUUCUGAACAACUUUUCUAAAGACACCCAACCUCGAAAAUGUAAGGUAAGACGAGAAAAGAUUUUUGACCAUCUUUUCCCAAAACGGUCCCACUGUGGGUUGCUAUGAGUUCGCUAUGCUUCCGCGUAAUCUCAAACAGGGCGCUCACUUUCCGCAGCAUAUUAACGCGCUACUAAUGAAGCAGCUUUGAAGACAGAUGAAACGGAAAACGCCUCGAACUGGGUCGAGUGUGAUUGAUGAUAGGCUUACAGUUUUUCAGACAUAUUUUUGUUUUAUUAGCCACAACAGGGAGAAAUAGCACAGAUAAUUAUUACAUUUUGUUUUGCGGUACACACUCUACGGUACACGGUUUAACACAUUUUUUUCCUACAAUAAUUUACAAUAGUUUGGCAAACGAUAUUUAUACAGUUUACAGAAACAGAAACAAAAAAACAAUCAUUA